This 471-nucleotide ribosomal RNA is filed under the name uncultured bacterium. RNAcentral describes it as "partial 16S ribosomal RNA". It matches the Rfam family "Bacterial small subunit ribosomal RNA", at positions 29 to 507 of the family's 1533-position model. The record is from RNAcentral.
ACGAACGCUGGCGGCGUGCUUAACCCCUGCAAGUCGCACGCUGAAGCUUGGUGCUUGCACUGGGUGGAUGAGUGGCGAACGGGUGAGUAAUACGUGAGUAACCUGCCCUUGACUCUGGGAUAAGCCUGGGAAACUGGGUCUAAUACUGGAUACGACAUGCCACUGCAUGGUGGUGUGUGGAAAGGGUUUUACUGGUUUUGGAUGGGCUCACGGCCUAUCAGCUUGUUGGUGGGGUAAUGGCCUACCAAGGCGACGACGGGUAGCCGGCCUGAGAGGGUGACCGGCCACACUGGGACUGAGACACGGCCCAGACUCCUACGGGAGGCAGCAGUGGGGAAUAUUGCACAAUGGGCGGAAGCCUGAUGCAGCGACGCCGCGUGAGGGAUGACGGCCUUCGGGUUGUAAACCUCUUUCAGCACGGAAGAAGCGAGAGUGACGGUACGUGCAGAAGAAGCGCCGGCUAACUACGUG